UUAUUACUCACCACUUGCAGAAGUGGGAGUCUUCUCGACUGAGAUAAAAAACAGCCGAACAUGCAACUGCCUUAUGGCAGCCGCUCAUUCGGCUGAAUAAUUGCUGAAUAGUUACUGUUUUUUUAACCGGUUACUGUAAUUCUAUCAGUCCAGUUUCUUUCCGGUCAACAUUUCAUAUCCCUGCAGAUAUUUUUCAAUCGUUUUGUCUACGAUCUCCUGCGGAAGUGUCCAGUCAUUGUCUGGAUUUUCUUUUAACCAGUCACGUGCAAACUGUUUAUCAAAAGACGGCUGUCCAUGUCCUGGUUCAUAUCCUUCGGCAGGCCAGAAACGUGAGCUGUCCGGUGUCAGCAUUUCAUCACCAAUUGUAAUAUUUCCGUUCUCAUCCAGUCCAAAUUCAAAUUUCGUAUCUGCGAUGAUAAUUCCUUUUUCCAGAGCAUAAGCUGCACAUUUCUUAUACAAUGUGAUCGUAUAAUCACGAAGUUUCUCUGCAUAUUCUUUUCCUUUUCCAGGAUAAUAUUUCUCCAGGUGCUCUACACUCUGUUCAAAAGAGAUGUUUUCAUCGUGAUCUCCAAUCUCAGCCUUUGUGGACGGUGUAUAGAUUGGUUCAGGCAGUUUAUCAGACUCUUUCAGACCUUCCGGAAGCUCAAUGCCACAUACCUUUCCUGUUUUUUUGUAGCUUUCCCAGCCGCUUCCUGUAAUAUAACCACGUACAAUACAUUCCAGUGGAAGCAUAUCAAGUUUACGGCACAUCAUGCUGUUUCCAUCAAACUGAUCCUGCUGAAAAUAUUCCGGCAUAUCUUUUACGUCUGUAGAUAUCAUAUGAUUUGGCAAAAUAUCUUCUGUCAUUUCAAACCAGAAUUUAGACAUCUGUGUAAGAACCGUUCCUUUUUUUGUAACUACGUUGUUCAAGAUUACAUCAAAACAACUGAUACGAUCUGUAGCUACCAUGAUCAGACUGUCACCAUUGUCAUAAAUCUCGCGUACUUUACCUUCUUUUAUCGGUUUCUUUCAUUGUCAAAAGGGAAACAGCCCAGACCUACAGCUAAGGUCCCAAAUGUAUGCUAAGUGGAAAACGAUGUGGAAUUGCGAAAACAACCAGGAUGUUGGCUUAGAAGCAGCCACACAUUAAAAGAGUGCGUAAUAGCUCACUGGUCGAGUGACUCUGCGCGGAAAAUGUAACGGGGCUAAGCAUGCAACCGAAGCUUAGGAUUGUCUAAAGACAGUGGUAGGGGAGCGUUCUGUAUGGGGUGAAGUCGCAGCGAGAGCAGCGGUGGACUGUACAGAAGUGAGAAUGCCGGAAUGAGUAGCGAGAAUUAUGUGGGAAUCAUAAUGGCCGAAAAUCUAAGGUUUCUUGGGGAAGGUUCGUCCGCCCAAGGUAAGCCGGGAGCUAAGGCGAGGCCGAAAGGCGUAGUCGAUGCACAUACGGUAGAAAUUCCGUAGCCACCGAACUUUAAGUCAGAGGGACACUUUUGGAUAGCGGAACCCGGGCGUUGGUUGACCCGGGCGAAAGGGAGCGAAAAUAUAGUAGCGAAGUCCGCGAUGCUGAGAGGCGAGAAAAGCUCUGAUGGAUACUAAGGUGCCCGUACCGCAAACCGACACAGGUAGAUGAGGAGAGAAUCCUAAGGCCAACGGGAGAAGGGUUGUUAAGGAACUCGGCAAGUUGACCCCGUAACUUCGGAAUAAGGGGAGCCUCGAAAGAGGCCGCAGUGAAAAGGCCCAAGCAACUGUUUACCAAAAACACAGGUCUAUGCUAAAUCGAAAGAUGACGUAUAUGGGCUGACGCCUGCCCGGUGCCGGAAGGUUAAGAGGAGAUGUCAGCGCAAGCGAAGCAUUGAAUUGAAGCCCCGGUAAACGGCGGCCGUAACUAUAACGGUCCUAAGGUAGCGAAAUUCCUUGUCAGGUAA
RNAcentral lists this ribosomal RNA (1904 nucleotides) under human gut metagenome. RNAcentral describes it as "bacterial LSU rRNA". The stretch from base 723 to 1904 matches the Rfam family "Bacterial large subunit ribosomal RNA", at positions 1 to 1979 of the family's 2925-position model. The record is from RNAcentral.